Non-coding RNA from Gaeumannomyces tritici R3-111a-1, 98 nucleotides. Lineage: Eukaryota; Fungi; Ascomycota; Sordariomycetes; Magnaporthales; Magnaporthaceae. The record is from the annotation of a RefSeq genome assembly.
AGCCGCGUGGUCUAGUCGUAUGAUUGCUGCUUCGGGUGGAUUCCCAUCGUGUAAACCAUGGUUGUAGCAGAUCCCGGGUUCAAAUCCCGGCGCGGCCC